UGGGGAAUAUUGGACAAUGGGCGAAAGCCUGAUCCAGCAAUGCCGCGUGUGUGAAGAAGGUCUUCGGAUUGUAAAGCACUUUCGACGGGGACGAUGAUGACGGUACCCGUAGAAGAAGCCCCGGNUAACUUCGUGCCAG
Molecule: ribosomal RNA, 139 nt
Filed under: uncultured bacterium
Lineage: Bacteria
Description: partial 16S ribosomal RNA
Rfam family: Bacterial small subunit ribosomal RNA
Source: RNAcentral